CAUGAAUUUUUUACCAGAAACUCUUACUAACAACCAUCUGAGAACAGCUUCACAAUUUUCACACUAGCCUCAACAAAUUCCUUGUCUUUACUCGAACUCUGGAACACCGAUUGAUUUCUUGAUCCAAACCAGUUCCACACAGCGGAGUGGCGGAGUCCAUUCGUCACGAACAUCUGGAACGAAAUUGCUAACUGAGAAGUGUACAUUGCAUCUGCUCGCGAACUGUUUGAUGAAAUUCCGAAAAGAAAUUUCUCUUACAUUUCUUGGUUCCCUCCUUUUGAAGAAUUUGUUCGUUCAAUUGAGCAGGGUAGACAUCCGGCAUUUGAGCAAUUGUUUCAAUACAUGGAGCGCCUUUUGCAAUAUCAUUAGAUGGCGAUCAUCCAUACAAGGAACCUGCCCCAGAUUGGUAUGGCUUGGGGUGUGAAAGACGACCUAGAAAAACUUAAAGACACUCUGGAGAUGAUUGAGGCUGUAACAUAUGAUGCAGAGAAGAAACAAGCGAAUGAGAAGGCUGUGAGACUUUGGUUAAAAAGGCUGAGGAACGUCGUGUAUGAUGCUGAUGAUGUUCUGGACGAGUUUUCGUAUAAAGCCAUGUGCGGAGCUCAAAUGAAUAAGGUACAAGGAUUUUUUUCGUCCUCCAACUCACUUUCGUUUCGUUUCAAAAUGGCGCAGAAAAUUAAACAUAUUAACAAGAGCCUAGAUAAAAUUUCUAUUGAGAUGGCAAAAUUUCAGUUUCAAAUUUCUACCCCUGAUAGUAGCACUCAUGUUCGCAGUACUGGAGAACAAAACCUACCAAUUCCAUCCUUUGUAGAUGAAUCAAACUUCCUAGGAACAAAUAAUAAUAAAUCAACCAUAAUACAGAUGUUAACUACACCCCAGACAUCAUCAUCAGCCUCAUCAUCCAUAAACACUUGUCGUCGAGAUAAAAAUUCAGUCCUGUCCAUAGUGGGCAUGGGGGGGCUUGGAAAAAGUACACUUGCUCACAUGGUCUACAAAGAUGACUCGAUAGUGAGUUCCUUUGAGAAAAGAGCUUGAGUGCGCGUGUCUGAUGAUUUUAAUAUCAGAAAGAUCUUAGUGAAAAUAAUUGAGUCAGUCACUAACAAGAAGUCUGAUUAUGUAUCAAAUGACAUGGUCUUGGUUAAUAAAGUUCGAGAAGUUGAGCGACAAAACAUAUUUACUAGUACUCGAUGAUUUGUGGAAUGAGGACGCGGAGGACUGUGAUAAACUGAAGGGUUUGCUAAGUGUGGGUGCUCCCGGAAGUAUAAUGUUAGUCACUACACGUAGCAACGAUGUUGCAUCUAUUGUUGGUGGUCUUAGCCCACCAUACAUCUUAGAAAACUUACCUGACUGUGUAUGCUGGUCUAUCAUCAAGACCAAAGCAUUUUCUGCUGGUGGUGCAUUAGAGACUCCAAAAAUGACAGGUAUAGGAGAGGAAAUAGCGAACAAAUGUGGCGGUUUACCACUUGCUGCAAAUGUUCUCGGAAAUCUUAUGCGCUUGCAUAAAUCCGAGAAUGAUUGGGUGUCAAUCCGGGACCAUGACAGUUUGAAUAUGAGAAAUGUAACAACAAAAAUCAUAUCAAUAUUAAAAUUUAGCUAUGAUAAAUUACCCUCUCAUUUGAAACAUUGUUUUUCCUAUUGCUCUUUAUUUCCAAAGGGUUGGGAGAUUAAUAGAGAAACACUGAUUAGAUUGUGGAUGGCUGAAGGGUUUCUUCAUGCAUCUCAUGGUGGAAAUCAGAUAUCACUAGAAGAUGUUGGUAAUGAUUAUUUUCAUAGUUUACUGGCUAACUCGUUUUCCCAAGAUGUGACCAAGGAUAAGUUAGGCGACAUCAAAACCUGCAAGGUGCAUGAUUUAGUACAUGAUCUUGCACAGAGUGUCAAUGGUGUUCAUGAUUGUGAAUUCCAGUGAAAUUGGAUCUAUUUCUGGAUUUCGUCGGUUGCAGUUAGCUUUAGACAAACAAACUUCAAUUACAUUUUCGAAAGUCUUAGAAAAAACAAAAAGAUUGAGGUCUGUUUUCUCCCUUGAAAAUGACCAUUUGGGAGAACAUUUACUUCUAAACAGAAAUCUGCGGGUAGUUUGUUUGCUUAGUCGGCAUGCUCUAGACAUUCAAUUUUCGACAGUUAAGCUUAAUCAUUUGAGGUACCUUGACCUGUCUUAUUGUGGUUUUGAUGAUGGACAUAAUGUGUCCAUCCUUCGACUUUACAAUUUGCAGACGUUAGUGCUUCAUGGAUGCAGAAAUGUUAGAAUGAUUCUCGUAGGCAUUGGGUCUCUGAAGAUCUUAAGGCACCUUAAUCUCUCGUAUUCAGAUGUUGAAAAGCUACCUGAUUCUGUCGUUAAGCUUACUAAGUUGCCGACACUAGAUCUACAUUGUUGCAAGAGACUAGUAGCCUUACCUGUACAGAUUGGGUCUUUGAAAGAUCUAAGAGAUUUGGCACUCAAAUACUGUAAAACUUUAGAAAUUUUACCAAGAGAGGUUGGAGAAUUGACACGAUUAAGGAUCCCGGAUUUGUCAGGUACUAUGAUCCAAGUAUUGCCCGAGUCAUGCAUUAACAACCUUUGCAGUUUGGAGAUAAUGGAAUUUGGAGACUGUAAGCUUCCCAAAGAAAUAAAUAAUUGGCCAAAACUGAGAAUUCUCACACAUAGUGGAGAGGGAACAGAUGGAAUGCCUAGAGGUAUAAAAUCUCUAACUUGCCUUGAAUUGUUAGACUCCUUUGAGGUGAUGGUCAGAGAUGACGUUGGAAUCUCUUGUAGUGGUGAUGGUACUGAAGAAUUAGCCAACCUAAAUUCUUUACGAGUGUUAAAGAUUCUCAAUUUGGAGUUUGUGAGAGGUGGUAUCGAGGGGAAGAAAGCAAAAUUAAAAGAUAAGAUAAACCUAUGUGAUUUGUCUCUAAAUUGGCUCUCCAUUUUUGAAGAGGAUCAUGAGAUGUCAUUUCAUGAGGUGUUGGAGGGUCUCAAACCUCACCCAAACUUGAGAAAGUUAGAAUUAUGUAAAUUCCCGGGUUUAUAAUUUCCAAAAUGGAUGGGCUUAUCCAAUUGCCUAUCAAACUUAGCGGAAUUAAGGCUUUGGGAUUGCGGUAGAUGCUCUACCUGCGCUGGGUAUGCUCACAUGUCUUAAGGUUCUUCAUAUUUGGCAGAUGAAGUUAGUUCAGUGUUUGGGUGAAGAGUUCUAUUACCAGCAAGAAGAGGAUGAAGAAAACAUCAACUGCAGCAGUAGUAAAGGCAGUUGUAGUACUAAGACUGCUAGUCCAACGUCAUUAUUCCCUUCGUUAAUUCAUCUGAGCAUUGAGGAUAUGGAAAAUCUAAAAGAAUGGGUUGCUCCUUUUCCAACUUAUAAUUCUUUUUCUUCCCUUGAGAAAUUAGAAAUUGGAAAAUGCCCAAAACUGAGAAGCACACCAAAGUCAUUCUCUUUUCUUAAGGAACUGGAUUUAAUAUACACCAGCAUCAAGGAAGUAACCCCGAUCUUAGCCACUGGACGACUAACCUAUCUCACGUCCAUUUUUAUAUCAUACUCUCCAAAGCUAAUAUGUGUUCCACUGGGCUUACUACUCCAAAACAUUACUCCGAAUCUUCAAAAUUUGCGGAUCAUGAGCUGCUCUAAACUUCAGGGUUUUCGUGAUGAUGAUAAUGAUCUAAACAACAACAAGGAUGAUGAAGAUUCCGAAGCGGUGCCAUAUUUUUCAUGUCCUGAAAUCAACUCCAACAACAGCAGCAAUUCUCUCCGCUUAGUUGUCCUAUUUUUACAUUGCUCCCGGAUUUACGGUUGCUGACUUCUCUCCGAAAAUUAACCAUAUGGCAGUGUGACAAAUUGAAGCAGGCAAUACCGUACAAUCUCAAGAAUUCUUUUACCUUUCUUGAAGUGUUAAGAGUUGAUUUUACUCAAAGUGAAGACGAGCAUCUAGAAGAUCCUGCUGCCAGUAUGAGUUAAUGAAUUUGAUGGGGGAUCAGGAAAAGAAGUAGGUCUGCUGCAAGUUAUUCUCACUAAUUCCAAUCAUUGCCAACAGAACAUAUAAUAUGCGGGAAAAUGAAGGGAGUGGCUUAAAAUAUCAAAAAGACGGAACCAAGAUCAUGUUGAAAUUUUCCAAAGCAGAGUUGCUGAAGAGGCAUCUAUGAACCUAUCCCCAAGUGUUUUGGGCGCCUCUGUAUAAGCUAUCCAAGGAUUAAACAAAAUUUGACUAUUCUAACUGUCGGGUUAUUGAAUUAUCAGCGGAUUAUGGUUGUUUGAAGCUCGUUAUGAAGCAAUGUUUCCUUCGAGUCAGAAUUGUGCCUGUCGACAAGAUAUGACGCGAUCUGUUAACAUCCAUUUGUAAUUCUAGAAUGUCAAAGUUGCUGUAUCGAAAGAGGCCGUUUCCAGAACUGGUGGCUGACAUGGUUCCAAAGAAAUAAAACUGGUGGCUGGAAUUUCCAGUUUUAUAAAUCAGUAAAGAUUGAUUGUGUAAUUAUCUUUUCUUGUCUCCUGUAAUUUUAAUUUGUAAAGUAAAACUGUUGGUCUCAUUGCCGGCAGUUAGUACGGCAAAAGAACGUUGCAACUGUAAGACAUGCAUCUGUGUUUUUGUUUAGUUACCCAAUAACAUAUCUUCCUCUUCGUUUUCCAUGUUUUCCAUGGCUAGAGCAGUACUGUCGUUGCUCGUCACUGCAUCAAGUCGGUGUGUUUUGCAAGUCUUUCUAAACUUCUGUGGAAUAGCUGGCCAAUGAGGCAUGAGUUGGCAUGAUUCCCACAUACCAUAUUGGGGAACCAAAUUCUGUCCCAGAUCACCACCUUUGGAGCUCCACUGUAGUCAGCAGAAGGGCUAACUAGUAAUAGAAAAGAACUCUGUCAGCUGAAGUUGUUGACUCAAGUUGUUGGAUCAACUUUAAGUGAACCGCGUGUUCUGGUAUGAGUUGACCAGAACACCCAUGUUUGACAGCGUUUGAAUCGAAUUGGAUCUGGAUUUCUUGGUAAAAUUUCCACUACAAAAUUCUUCAAAUACCUACCAAUUUUUGAAAUUUCUUUGAAAAUAUAAGAAUUAUAAAAGUUUUUUUGGUUUUGAUUGUAAUUUGUAAACACUAGAAGCUACAUAUCUCAACAAAACUAUGGAAUUUUCAUUAAAAAUCAUCAAAAUAUUACAUCUCAAAUAAUAAAAAAAAUAUUGUUAAGAUCAUGAUCUACUCAAGAAUAGGAGGACUAAUACUACAACUCAUGAACCCAUUUCUUUUACUCCCCAACAGCGAAGAAAAAGACCCAACACUCUUAUUCGAACCUUUCUUUGAUAUCAUCUUCGAACUAUUAUUCGUAGCAAAUGAUUUACUAUUAUCCAAUCCACACGCAUAACUCUUGCAUGAUUUCAUCAUCAUCUGCUUCUUCUUAUACGGGUUCUCUCUUUUCGCAAGAUCUUCCAACGUCUGCACGUUAGACAACGAGGUAAAAGACUGCGACUUCCCUUGAAAAUGCUUAGACAAGCCUCUCUUCACAGGUAGUUCAUUCAUGAGCCCUGACAAUUCAUAUAACGGUCCCCUGGUUAACCGUGGCGACGUCGCCGCCGCUUCGAAAGAAGAAGACGCGUCGUCUUGUAAAUCCUCUGCGUCGGAAUUUGAACCAAGUGAACCGCUUGAUGAGGACCUUUCCUCGAAAGAUGAUGCUGAAGACAUAGCCUCAUCAAUACCACCAAGUUCAUCUUCACUACUACUAUCCACGACACCCCACCGUUGCACGUUUGCCGCCAUCGGAAACACGUUUUGCCUGGCCGAUAAGAGAUUAAUGAAAUUGCUUUGAUUCUUAACCAUCACUUCAC
RNA transcript from Papaver somniferum (opium poppy), 5766 nucleotides. It is a transcript of the gene named disease resistance protein RGA2-like, with no coding region annotated. The record is from RefSeq and is a predicted model, not a curated record. The transcript is spliced from 6 exons. NCBI's taxonomy places the organism in Eukaryota, Viridiplantae, Streptophyta, Magnoliopsida, Ranunculales, Papaveraceae.